Molecule: long non-coding RNA, 241 nt
Filed under: Brassica rapa (field mustard)
Lineage: Eukaryota; Viridiplantae; Streptophyta; Magnoliopsida; Brassicales; Brassicaceae
Description: long non-coding RNA (BRAP_LNC002887)
Source: RNAcentral
UAUUUUAUCCUUUUUCACUUUCACCUUUCUUUUUCAAUUAAUUUUAGAAGUUUAAAAAUAACUAAUUUGAAAUUUUUAUAUAUCUAUAAAAAAUAUAGAUUUUUUUUGUAUAUGAAAUGUUUUGAAUUUUGUAAAACUAAUAUAUAUUUAUAAAAUUGAAUAUUUACAGUUAUACUAAAGUUAUGUUCUAUUCUAUUUUGAAAUAUAAAAUAUAAUUAUAAUUAUACAAUUUCACUUUCUU